GCGCCUGUAUUGAGCGCGGAUCUUCAGAAGUGGUGCCCUUUUCAGGAGGUGGUGGACACCCAGGAGGUAGAACCUGGAUGGAUUCACAAGAGUUAGAUGAUGCCAGGUGUUUUUUAGAAAACCCCAUCCGACUUCUCUACAGAUCAAGAAGAAUAGCUGAGACACUGACCGAGAAUAUGAGGGUUUGACUAUGAAUGCCGUCUUGGGAAUUGUCAGAGCUCAGAGAUAGCCACAGAUUGGGGACUGUACCUCGUUAGGAAGCUUGAAGAGCCAUCCAAAAUACUAUGGAAGGAAGAGGGCAGUCAAGUGGAUGGAGGCAGAUAGAAGGGGAGCAAUUUCUGGACUGACAUUUGGAUCAUGGAUUCAAGCCUUAGACAAAAAGAAGACAGGGCCCUUAUCCAGCUGGAGGACAUGGGGACAGAAAAGGUAGGUACCAAUCACUGAGAUGUGACUGACAUCCAGAAUACAAAUGGUCUUCUUCAGUUUACCCUCAGAUCAAGCUGAAUCCCCACAUCAUAGGGAUCCUUGAUGGAGGUGAGAGAUGGCCAAGUGGGAAGAAAGUGGAACCAAUAAGAAUGCCUUCACUACACAGCAUCAAUGGCCUUGGAAUUGACAGCUUCAGUUGCCAAGCAUGGAUGAGAUACUGACUUCGAGGAGCAAGCUUCUUGGAUAGACAGGGAGGAUGCAGAUGGAAGAAAAGCUAGCAGACCAUCAGUAUCCCCGUUUCCCUCUACCUGGACUGUCAUGAUAUGAGCUUCUCUGCUCUGCCGCACACUGCCCGCCGUGAGGGACCGAACCUACUGAAGCCAUGA
Peromyscus eremicus (cactus mouse) is the source of this 812-nucleotide long non-coding RNA. RefSeq lists it as uncharacterized. NCBI's taxonomy places the organism in Eukaryota, Metazoa, Chordata, Mammalia, Rodentia, Cricetidae. The transcript is spliced from 5 exons. The record is from RefSeq and is a predicted model, not a curated record.